RNAcentral lists this ribosomal RNA (1554 nucleotides) under Escherichia fergusonii. RNAcentral's name for it is "bacterial SSU rRNA". It matches the Rfam family "Bacterial small subunit ribosomal RNA". The record is from RNAcentral. Lineage: Bacteria; Pseudomonadati; Pseudomonadota; Gammaproteobacteria; Enterobacterales; Enterobacteriaceae.
AAAUUGAAGAGUUUGAUCAUGGCUCAGAUUGAACGCUGGCGGCAGGCUUAACACAUGCAAGUCGAACGGUAACAGGAAUCAGCUUGCUGAUUCGCUGACGAGUGGCGGACGGGUGAGUAAUGUCUGGGAAACUGCCUGAUGGAGGGGGAUAACUACUGGAAACGGUAGCUAAUACCGCAUAAUGUCGCAAGACCAAAGAGGGGGACCUUCGGGCCUCUUGCCAUCGGAUGUGCCCAGAUGGGAUUAGCUAGUAGGUGGGGUAACGGCUCACCUAGGCGACGAUCCCUAGCUGGUCUGAGAGGAUGACCAGCCACACUGGAACUGAGACACGGUCCAGACUCCUACGGGAGGCAGCAGUGGGGAAUAUUGCACAAUGGGCGCAAGCCUGAUGCAGCCAUGCCGCGUGUAUGAAGAAGGCCUUCGGGUUGUAAAGUACUUUCAGCGGGGAGGAAGGGAGUAAAGUUAAUACCUUUGCUCAUUGACGUUACCCGCAGAAGAAGCACCGGCUAACUCCGUGCCAGCAGCCGCGGUAAUACGGAGGGUGCAAGCGUUAAUCGGAAUUACUGGGCGUAAAGCGCACGCAGGCGGUUUGUUAAGUCAGAUGUGAAAUCCCCGGGCUCAACCUGGGAACUGCAUCUGAUACUGGCAAGCUUGAGUCUCGUAGAGGGGGGUAGAAUUCCAGGUGUAGCGGUGAAAUGCGUAGAGAUCUGGAGGAAUACCGGUGGCGAAGGCGGCCCCCUGGACGAAGACUGACGCUCAGGUGCGAAAGCGUGGGGAGCAAACAGGAUUAGAUACCCUGGUAGUCCACGCCGUAAACGAUGUCGACUUGGAGGUUGUGCCCUUGAGGCGUGGCUUCCGGAGCUAACGCGUUAAGUCGACCGCCUGGGGAGUACGGCCGCAAGGUUAAAACUCAAAUGAAUUGACGGGGGCCCGCACAAGCGGUGGAGCAUGUGGUUUAAUUCGAUGCAACGCGAAGAACCUUACCUGGUCUUGACAUCCACGGAAGUUUUCAGAGAUGAGAAUGUGCCUUCGGGAACCGUGAGACAGGUGCUGCAUGGCUGUCGUCAGCUCGUGUUGUGAAAUGUUGGGUUAAGUCCCGCAACGAGCGCAACCCUUAUCCUUUGUUGCCAGCGGUCCGGCCGGGAACUCAAAGGAGACUGCCAGUGAUAAACUGGAGGAAGGUGGGGAUGACGUCAAGUCAUCAUGGCCCUUACGACCAGGGCUACACACGUGCUACAAUGGCGCAUACAAAGAGAAGCGACCUCGCGAGAGCAAGCGGACCUCAUAAAGUGCGUCGUAGUCCGGAUUGGAGUCUGCAACUCGACUCCAUGAAGUCGGAAUCGCUAGUAAUCGUGGAUCAGAAUGCCACGGUGAAUACGUUCCCGGGCCUUGUACACACCGCCCGUCACACCAUGGGAGUGGGUUGCAAAAGAAGUAGGUAGCUUAACCUUCGGGAGGGCGCUUACCACUUUGUGAUUCAUGACUGGGGUGAAGUCGUAACAAGGUAACCGUAGGGGAACCUGCGGUUGGAUCACCUCCUUACCUUAAAGAAGC